This 661-nucleotide ribosomal RNA is filed under the name uncultured Acinetobacter sp. RNAcentral's name for it is "bacterial SSU rRNA". It matches the Rfam family "Bacterial small subunit ribosomal RNA", at positions 56 to 713 of the family's 1533-position model. Lineage: Bacteria; Pseudomonadati; Pseudomonadota; Gammaproteobacteria; Moraxellales; Moraxellaceae. The record is from RNAcentral.
UGCAGUCGAGCGGGGGAGGUAGCUUGCUACUGGACCUAGCGGCGGACGGGUGAGUAAUACUUAGGAAUCUGCCUAUUAGUGGGGGACAACGUUCCGAAAGGAGCGCUAAUACCGCAUACGCCCUACGGGGGAAAGCAGGGGAUCUUCGGACCUUGCGCUAAUAGAUGAGCCUAAGUCGGAUUAGCUAGUUGGUGGGGUAAAGGCCUACCAAGGCGACGAUCUGUAGCGGGUUUGAGAGGAUGAUCCGCCACACUGGGACUGAGACACGGCCCAGACUCCUACGGGAGGCAGCAGUGGGGAAUAUUGGACAAUGGGCGCAAGCCUGAUCCAGCCAUGCCGCGUGUGUGAAGAAGGCCUUAUGGUUGUAAAGCACUUUAAGCGAGGAGGAGGCUUACCUAGCUAAUACCUAGGAUAAGUGGACGUUACUCGCAGAAUAAGCACCGGCUAACUCUGUGCCAGCAGCCGCGGUAAUACAGAGGGUGCAAGCGUUAAUCGGAAUUACUGGGCGUAAAGCGCGCGUAGGUGGCCAUUUAAGUCAAAUGUGAAAUCCCCGAGCUUAACUUGGGAAUUGCAUUCGAUACUGGAUGGCUAGAGUAUAGGAGAGGAAGGUAGAAUUCCAGGUGUAGCGGUGAAAUGCGUAGAGAUCUGGAGGAAUACCGAU